CAAGUGGUGCGACGAACCAGGGCUUGCCCUGGGGCAAAGCCGCGAACGGGUGAGUAACACGUGAGUAACCUGCCCCGAUGACCGGGACAACCCGAGGAAACUCGGGCUAAUACCGGAUGUGGUACAUGGACUUAAGCCUGUGUACUAAAGGAAGCUUCGGCCUCCGCAUUGGGAGGGGCUCGCGGCCCAUUAGCUUGUUGGUGGGGUAACGGCCUACCAAGGCAACGAUGGGUAGCUGGUCUGAGAGGACGAUCAGCCACACUGGGACUGAGACACGGCCCAGACUCCUACGGGAGGCAGCAGUGGGGAAUCUUGCGCAAUGCGCGAAAGCGUGACGCAGCAACGCCGCGUGGGGGAAGACGGCCUUCGGGUUGUAAACCCCUUUCAGGAGGGACGAAGGUUCGCCGGUGAAUAGCCGUGCGGAUUGACGGUACCUCCAGAAGAAGCUCCGGCUAACUACGUGCCAGCAGCCGCGGUAAUACGUAGGGAGCAAGCGUUGUCCGGAAUCAUUGGGCGUAAAGCGCGCGUAGGCGGCCCUGUAAGUCCGUUGUGAAAGUCAAAGGCUCAACCUUUGAAAGCCGAUGGAUACUGCAGGGCUAGAGUCCGGAAGAGGCGAGUGGAAUUCCUGGUGUAGCGGUGGAAUGCGCAGAUAUCAGGAGGAACACCAAUAGCGAAGGCAGCUCGCUGGGACGGUACUGACGCUAAGGCGCGAAAGCGUGGGGAGCGAACAGGAUUAGAUACCCUGGUAGUCCACGCCGUAAACGAUGGGCACUAGGUGUGGGAGGUGUCGACUCCUCCCGUGCCGUCGCUAACGCACUAA
RNAcentral lists this ribosomal RNA (820 nucleotides) under uncultured Actinomycetes bacterium. RNAcentral describes it as "bacterial SSU rRNA". It matches the Rfam family "Bacterial small subunit ribosomal RNA", at positions 58 to 863 of the family's 1533-position model. Lineage: Bacteria; Bacillati; Actinomycetota; Actinomycetes. The record is from RNAcentral.